CUUUCUGUUUGUUUUAUAUCAAUUUGUGCACUUCUUUUUUGUGCUCGUUUGAGAUGGCCUUGGCGAUUGAUAGACGCUCUUGGUCAUCACCUUGCUCCACUUGGUGGGAGUGGGUUGUAGUCGUGUCUGGGUAGUGGAGGUACAUAGCCUUAGUCCCAGUUCGUCCUUAGUUGAACUACUGGUCGUGGUAAUGAAGCGCAGCUUUAUAGUUCGACUUGGACUGAACUUUACGCGGGUCGAAACGUUAGUUUGGAGUUAGUCGUACUUAUUUGAAUGGCGAGGCGCUUGGCCCGAUCAGGGGUUCGUUCGUGGUAGGACAUUUGGGGGCGCUCGUCGUUGCCUGAUCGCAGCCCGGCUCAUAGCCUCGGGACGUGUUUCCUUGGAUUUGAUUUGUCCCUGGUUGAGUUUGUGGCUUUUGUGACGGAGGCGUGUAGCCUGAGUCCUUAUUCAACUCAUAGUUGAAUACUUUUGUAAUUCGUAAUGGCGGAGCACUUGGCCGGAGUCCUAGUCCAACUCGUAAUUGAUCUUUUAGGGUGAAGGCACAUAGCCUGAGUUGUCGUUCAACCGUAGUUGAACCUUUGUUAUUUUUGAAGGCACGUAGCCUGAGUCCCAGUUCAACCGUAGUCGAAAUUUUGGGUGAAGGCACGUAGCUUGAGCUUCCGUUCAACCGUAGUUGAACCUCUAUGAUUUUUGAAGGCGCGUAGCUUGAGUCCCAGUUCAACCGUAGUUGAACUUUUUGGUGAAGGCACGUAGCCUAAGUUGUCGUUCAACUGUAGUUGAACCAUUGUAAUUUUUGAAGGCACGUAGCCUGAGUCCCAGUUCAACCGUAGUUGAACUUUUGGGUGAAGGCACGUAGCCUGAGCUGCCGUUCAACCGUAGUUGAACCUCUGUGAUUUUUGAAGGCACAUAGCAUGAGUCCUAGUUCAACCGUAGUUGAACUUUUGGGUGAAGGCACGUAGCCCGAGUUGUCAUUCAACCGUAGUUGAACCUUUGUAAUUUUUGAAGGCACGCAGCAUGAGUUGCCGUCAACCGUAGUUGAACCUCUGUGAUUUUUGAAGGCGCGUAGCGUGAGUCCCAGUUCAACCGUAGUUGAAAUUUCGGGUGAAGGCACGUAGCCUGAGCUCUCGUUCAACCGUAGUUGAACCUUUGUAAUAUUUGAUGUCGAAGGCACAUAGCCUGAGUUCUAGUUCAACCGUAGUUGACGUUUUGGGUGAAGGCAUGUAGCCUGAGCUGUCCUUCAACUGCAGUUGAACCUUUGUAAUAUUUGAUGUCGAAGGCACAUGGCUUGAGUCCCAAUUCAACCGUAGUUGAAAUUUUUGGGUGAAGGCACGUAGCCUGAGCUACUGUUCAACCGUUGUUGAACCUCUGUGAUUUUUGAAGGAGUGUAACCUGAGUCCCAGUUCAACCGUAGUUAAACUUUUGGGUGAAGGCACGUAGCCUGAGUUGUCGUUCAACCUAGUUGAACCUUUGUAAUUUUUGAAGGCACGUAGCCUGAGUUCCAGUUCAAUUGUAAUUGAACUUUUGGGUGAAGGAGCAUAGCCUGAGCUCUUGUUCAACUCUAGUUGAACCUCUGUGAUUUUUUUAAGGCGCGUAGCCUGAGUCCCAGUUCAACCGUAGUUGAAAUUUUGGGUGAAGGAACAUAGCCUGAGGUGCUAUUCAACCCUAGUUGAAUCUUUGUAAUAUUUGAUGUCGAAGGCACAUAGCCCGAGUCCCAGUUCAACCGUAGUUGAUCUUUUGGGUGAAGGCACGUAGCCUGAGCUGCCGUUCAACCGUAGUUGAACCUUUUUAAUAUUUGAUGUCGUAGGCACAUGGCCUGAGUCCCAGUUCAAUCGUAGCUGAACUUUUUGGGUGAAGGCACGAAGCCUGAGUUGCCGUUCAACCGUAGUUGAACCUCUGUGAUUUUUGAUGGCGCCUAGCCUGAGUCCCAGUUCAACCGUAGUUGAACUUUUUGGGUGAAGGCACGUAGCCGAGCUACCGUUCAACCAUAGUUGAACCUCUGUGAUAUUUUAAGGCACGUAGCCUGAGUCCCAGUUCAACCGUGGUUGAACUUUUUGGGUGAAGGCACGUAGCAUGAUCUCCCGUUAAAUCGUAGUUGAACCUUUGUGAUUUUUGAAGGCACGUAGCCUGAGUCCCAGUUUAACUGUAGUUGAACUUUUUGGGUGAAGGCACGUAGCUUGAGCUGCCGUUCAACCGUAGUUUAACCUCUGUGAUUUUUGAAGCCGCGUAGCCUGAGUCCCAGUUCAACAGUAGUUGAACUUUUUCGGUGAAGACCCGUAGCCUGAGCUGCCAUUCAACUGU
Molecule: long non-coding RNA, 2298 nt
Filed under: Nicotiana benthamiana
Lineage: Eukaryota; Viridiplantae; Streptophyta; Magnoliopsida; Solanales; Solanaceae
Description: long non-coding RNA (NBEN_LNC037105)
Source: RNAcentral